AAAUAAUGAAAUGUCCCAAUGUAAUAAGGAGAUAGCUUACGUCUGAGGAGUUUGAGCUACCACCCGAGGUGUUCCAGGUUCAUCCCCCUCCUCUGCCACAGAUAUCCUCUUGUGGUUGAAGGUGACUAACAGCUGGGGAAUAUCAUAUAUUCAGAUAAGCAUCUGGAACAAGAACAUGCUCAAAUAGUUGUGUUUUGAUGCUUGUUACUGCAUUUUGAGCUAAAACACUGUUUAUUUUCUGGAGGUGGGAAGAAGACACAUGGCAAAGCCACAGCUUUGGCUGCAGGAAUAGAGCCCAGCAAAUACUGGCCACUGAAGUCACCAAGAGACCUUGAUUGCCCUGACCAGCAUCACCUGGGAUCCUCAUCCCACACACUCUCUGCCCAGAGGUCUGUGGGCACUAUUAAGUCACAGCUGUGCUGGCUGACCCUAUCCAACCAGCAAUGAGUACUCUAAAGGACCACAGUCUGAAAGUCCCUUCAGGAGAAAGAAGACAUGAGUGCACCCUGAUUUGAAAGGCAAGGUCUUCCUGCAUCCUUUUGACUGAUGGGAUAUGAUGACUACAGCUGAAAAGCAGCCUGUAAGUUGCCUCAUAUACACCAUAGUAGAGAUGAAAAUUUUUCAGGCCGGGCAAAGAGAUGAAUGCAGUGAUGCGUUCUCCUAGGAAGAGUGGAUGACAACAGAGCAAAUUCUGUGAGCAGGGCUGGUACUGGAAAUAAUCUGCUUUUUUGUGAGAGUACUCCAUGUCUGCCAGGUGUAAUGGCAGAAAAUGAGUGACCUUAGCCAAAAAGGACCUUUGGGUCCUCUGGAAUCUGCAGAUAAACACCAGAAGCACCUUAUUAGAAAUACUAUACCAUGUAUGGAAAUAUCUUUGGAUAAGAGAUCAUAAGAAAAAUGGUGGAAGAAGUGGAACAGUGUUUGCCAGACCCUGGUGAUGGGCUAAAAGCACACCCACCUACAGUAGUAUUUCUUUUCUUUUUUUUUCCUUUUUUGUUUUUU
Molecule: long non-coding RNA, 999 nt
Organism: Phasianus colchicus (ring-necked pheasant)
Lineage: Eukaryota; Metazoa; Chordata; Aves; Galliformes; Phasianidae
Source: Ensembl